UGGGGAAUUUUGGACAAUGGGCGAAAGCCUGAUCCAGCAAUGCCGCGUGUGUGAAGAAGGCCUUCGGGUUGUAAAGCACUUUUGUCCGGAAAGAAAUCCUUGGCUCUAAUACAGUCGGGGGAUGACGGUACCGGAAGAAUAAGCACCGGCUAACUACGUGCCAGCAGCCGCGGUAAUACGUAGGGUGCAAGCGUUAAUCGGAAUUACUGGGCGUAAAGCGUGCGCAGGCGGUUUGCUAAGACCGAUGUGAAAUCCCCGGGCUCAACCUGGGAACUGCAUUGGUGACUGGCAGGCUAGAGUAUGGCAGAGGGGGGUAGAAUUCCACGUGUAGCAGUGAAAUGCGUAGAGAUGUGGAGGAAUACCGAUGGCGAAGGCAGCCCCUGGGCCAAUACUGACGCUCAUGCACGAAAGCGUGGGGAGCAAACAGGAUUAGAUACCCUGGUAGUCCACGCCCUAAACGAUGUCAACUAGUUGUUGGGGACUUCAUUUCCUUAGUAACGUAGCUAACGCGUGAAGUUGACCGCCUGGGGAGUACGGUCGCAAGAUUAAAACUCAAAGGAAUUGACGGGGUCAUAGCUG
RNAcentral lists this ribosomal RNA (579 nucleotides) under uncultured bacterium. RNAcentral's name for it is "partial 16S ribosomal RNA". It matches the Rfam family "Bacterial small subunit ribosomal RNA", at positions 355 to 932 of the family's 1533-position model. The record is from RNAcentral.